This 310-nucleotide ribosomal RNA is filed under the name uncultured soil bacterium. RNAcentral's name for it is "bacterial SSU rRNA". It matches the Rfam family "Bacterial small subunit ribosomal RNA", at positions 27 to 363 of the family's 1533-position model. The record is from RNAcentral.
GGAACGAACGCUGGCGGCAUGCCUAAUACAUGCAAGUCGAACGAACACUUCGGUGUUAGUGGCGCACGGGUGCGUAACGCGUGGGAAUCUGCCCUUGGGUUCGGAAUAACAGUUGGAAACGACUGCUAAUACCGGAUGAUAUCGAAAGAUCAAAGAUUUAUCGCCCAGGGAUGAGCCCGCGUAGGAUUAGCUAGUUGGUGAGGUAAAGGCUCACCAAGGCGACGAUCCUUAGCUGGUCUGAGAGGAUGAUCAGCCACACUGGGACUGAGACACGGCCCAGACUCCUACGGGAGGCAGCAGGUAGGGAAUA